UUAAAUUGAAGAGUUUGAUCAUGGCUCAGAUUGAACGCUGGCGGCAGGCCUAACACAUGCAAGUCGAACGGUAACAGGAAGCAGCUUGCUGCUUUGCUGACGAGUGGCGGACGGGUGAGUAAUGUCUGGGAAACUGCCUGAUGGAGGGGGAUAACUACUGGAAACGGUAGCUAAUACCGCAUAACGUCGCAAGACCAAAGAGG
RNAcentral lists this ribosomal RNA (203 nucleotides) under Escherichia coli. RNAcentral's name for it is "partial 16S ribosomal RNA". It matches the Rfam family "Bacterial small subunit ribosomal RNA", at positions 1 to 209 of the family's 1533-position model. The record is from RNAcentral. Lineage: Bacteria; Pseudomonadati; Pseudomonadota; Gammaproteobacteria; Enterobacterales; Enterobacteriaceae.